GUGUCUUACUUAAAGCACAGUACAUAUGAAACCUUUACAUUCUCCUUGUUUCUCAACAAAUGAUAUGGCUGGUUGCUGCAGGAGAGAGGGUAACAAGCAACUUAACAAGAUUCGUGAUUAUUGUGUGGGUUUUUGUGGUGCUGGUGCUGACAUCAAGCUAUACAGCCAACCUAACAUCUACGUUAACAGUACAACAGCUCCAACCUACUGUAACAAACCUCAAUGAUCUCAUAACAAAUGGAGAACUAUACAGCCAACUUAACAUCUAUGUUAACAGUGCAACAGCUCCAACCUACUGUAACAAACCUCAAUGAUCUCAUAACAAAUGGAGAAUAUGUUGGGUACCAAGAAGGUUCCUUUGUCAAAGACGACUUGAAGCGCAUGAAUUUUGAUAGCUCCAAGUUUAAGAGUUAUAGUACAUUGGAAGAGUACA
This 433-nucleotide long non-coding RNA is filed under the name Nicotiana benthamiana. Its description in RNAcentral is "long non-coding RNA (NBEN_LNC025346)". Lineage: Eukaryota; Viridiplantae; Streptophyta; Magnoliopsida; Solanales; Solanaceae. The record is from RNAcentral.